CUUGUGUGUUAAUUGUGCGAGUUUGUGAAUGAUAUGUGAAAUUAUCGAAGAGACGGCAGUAAAAAAGACAGCUAGCAUUCUUUGUGUUAAUUUUGCUCACAGAGAUUGCUCAAGAUGGCUGUUACAUUAGAUAAGAUACAGAAAAUAUCUUGUACAUUAGAUAAACUGAGAAAGAAUUUACAGUGUGUAAUAUGCUUGGAGCUGCUUAAGGAUCCAGUGCAGACACGAUGUCGUCAUUCCUUUUGUCAAGACUGUGUAAGCACCCUUCUCCAGAAGUCACGUCAUCCACAGUGUCCUUUAUGUAAUACUGCUCUUGGGCGUCGUGGUAUCAGUGAGGACCCAAAGAAAGCUGCUCUAGUGGACAUCUGUCAGCGUCUUACCAUUGCUGUGCAGCUUGAUCUUGGCAUUGAUGUGGAAUCGUACAUAGCUGCCAAUUCCAGUUCACGUGAGGCUUUUAUAGAUUCACCAAGGCACAAAAAGUUUGGUUUAUCAGACAGUAACAAGGAAAAUAACAACCUAAAUGAUUUUCUCAAAUUGGGAACGGAGCCAAGUAGCCAUAAAACUUCUACAGUGCAAAGCUCAGUGUCUGCCAGCAAAGUAAAUGGGAAUGUAGCUUCCAAAAGUAACAGCUGGUCUAAGGUGAAAGAAAGCAUUAUUAGCAGUGAUACACCAGGCCAAGCAGAAGCUGGACAGGAUGGUCGAAACACAUGGAAAAAUUCUCCCUGUGAUCAGCCCUCAUCUUCAAGAUCGAACAACAAAGUCUACAAGAAUAAAAAGGAAAAUUCAAAAAAGCUGGAUAAUUUUUUAUUGCCUGCCCCAGUUGACAGACCUAAGGGACAGGAUGCCGGCCAUCUAGGCAGAAACAGAUUAUCUAUGACACGUGGAGUCCAGAGUGGAGGAAGUGAUGAUAAAUGCUUUAGCAGUGCUGUAGUAGAACAGACAUCCAGUGAGGCUGCUACUGCUGGACAAAGCUCUGGUGGAACCAGUGAGAAAUAUUGUAAGAGCUAUAAGGGACCAAAGACAGCAAACAGUAAGGUGGUACCUGGCGCUCUGGUGACAAUAGACCGUGUGUCAUCCUCUACGAAAGUUGAAAAAUGGCUGGAAAAGAAUAUUUGUGAAGCUGCAUUAGAAGAGUCAUUGCAUCCACCUACACCUCCAACAAGAUCACGUUCAUCAUCUACCUCUUCAUUUUCAUCAAAUGAUGAUUUGCCCUUGCUGUCAGUGUCUCAAAGGCCAGAAGGAGGUGGUAUUUUUCCACAGACCUCUCGUGAAAUGUAUAAUACAAACAGUCCUGCCGAUCCAUAUGAGUUUGUAUCCAGUCAAGAUGUUAGAAAACCAGUAAAAUAUAGGAAACCUGGGACUAAACCAAUAGGAGAUGAAACACUUUCACAAUUACUGCCUCCCCCAUCAAGUAACCCUAUUUCUCAGGAUGUGUCUGAUAUUUGUAAUUUAACAGUGAAUAACACCUUUGAUCGUCUGCUGCUUAGUAGCAAGGAAAUUCAGAAGCAUAAACAGCCUCCACAGAAAAAAAUUUCAGAGAAAGAGUGUACUCUAUUUACUUCUCCUCCUUCAGACAAUGAUGAUGACAACCAACAGUCUGACUAUCAGUCUUUCAUCGCCACAACUACAGCUGUCACCACAUUUGCAACUGUUGUCACAACUGCAACCACUGCUAUCAGUGCUGCAUGCACUACCUUUGCCAAUUCACCAUGCAGAUCAGACAUUGAGUCACAGCACUUCAAACCUCAUGUGUCAUCAACUCAAGCAGGCAAUGACGCCUCUGCAAGUGACAACAGCAUGAAGACUGUGCUCCAUGUACAGCUGCCCCAGAAAUCCAGGGAAUCAGAGGCCAACAAUGAUAAGACAGUUAGAGAUUCACAGCUCCUUUGUCAAUCAAGAAGUGAGUUGCAAAAUGGUAAUGAUCCGGCAUCGUCACAGCACAAUUCAUCACAGACUGUGAAUGACAAAGAGAUCACCUCACCAUCAUCAGAAAAUGAUCCUUAUGAUCGAAAGACGGUGCUGUUUCCACGAAUUCCGCCUGUGCUGCGCACGCCAGAUAGUCGAAGUUCACGCCUAGCAGCUCAAGCACCCGACACGCCAUCAUCUGCAGAGCCAUUCACACAUUUUGAAAGUCCAGUUCAGGAUACCUCAGCUCUUGAGAGACUGAUUCAGGGUAGUGAUUUAGAAUCCAUUCCUGAUGGAACUAUAGUACUUGAUUCACAGAGAAAUUUAGGAAAUUUUUAUGGACUGAAUCAGUCCAACACGAGAAUGGAACCAGUGGAGGCUGCACGUUCUCCACUUCAGUUAACACCAGAAGAGCCUUCUAAAGCUUCAGAACUUCAUCGUUCAACCCAGUGUUUGACGUCGAUGCAAUCUUUGGCUCCAGUGCUUGCAGCUCCAGUGGCUCCCACCGCAGUUUCAGACCCUGCUCCACAGCCAACCUCCAUUGUAUCUCCAACAUCAGCCAUAGGAAAACAAGUCUCUGCAAUCAGUUCUGUUACAGCUAAAGAAAAUAAGGGUAAAUUUGGAAAAAUUGACUGUGAUUUGGAAAAUGUAGAUUCAAGAAUAGGGUGUGAUGAAGCUGUAUCCAGUAAAUUGUCUCCUGCUGCAGCUGUUCCCUCUAGUUUGCAACUAGGAAACACAGGCAAAGUAGCACCAGUUUCUCUUGCAAUGGAUGUAUGGAUUGGUUUAAAUAACAAUGGAACUAUGCCACCAAAAAAACCAUGUGUCACAUUCACCCUAGACACGGAAAGUAACUCAUGUUGGUCUAAACCCGUCAGUUUGCAAGGGCAUGUGGAUGUAAGUUCAGCAGAGGCAAGUGGACGUCGCCGAAUUUCCAUUGCUCUUACUUUGGACUUUGAAGGAUCUGAGGCUCCACAGACAAGCCUAGAAGCCAACUCUGAGGAAAUUUCUGUUGAUGUUCCUGUGAGGUUGAAACCCACACCUACACAAGAAGGUCUAACGCGGAACACCCACGAUGCUCAAUUAAACUACGGUGCGUGCAGGUUGUCAACACUGGCCGCUACACAGGUGCAGCAUUUGCCAUCUACCCGUGAGGAGAAGACCAGUUGGGCCCCUUCUGAGAAAAGUCAAACGCAGAGCCAGCAUAGCCAGUGUUUGAGUCAGCCACCUUCUAAAAUGAAAGUGGAUGACUCAGCUGCCAAGCCAAGUGUCAAAUACGUUCACAGUGAUAAUCCAAAAGUGUCAGAUACACUGGACAGAACCCCAAUGCAAACUCAGAGCCAGAGAAACACUCCAUCUGCAUCAGUUACCAUAGACAGACCUCUCACACAAAUGCAAAAUUCUUCUUCUCAGGCUAGCUUUUCAAAAAAGACCAGUCAGGAGAAAUCUGCUGUUCAGACAAAACAUUUGAAAGGUAACUCCCCCUCUGGUGAAACACAUCCCAAGAACAGCAAUACUUUACAAAGUAAUUUGUCCAGGACCCCACAAGCUGUCGUUGACAGUGAAGGAGUUUGCUCUCAGUUCCAACAGAGUGACUCAGCAGAUAAACAAGGGGUGUCUGUCAGUGAGUCCCAAUCACAAAAAUCAGGUGAGAUGGCAUUGGUAGUAUCUGGCUGCAGACAAAAACUAUCAACGUCUCCUUCAGUACGUGGCACAGAGGGCUCAGUCAGUAGGUCCAGCUCACAGAAAUCAUGUGCGGUGGCAUUGCCAGCAUCUGGUAAUACACUAAGACUGUCAGCAUCUCCUGCAGUGCGUGACACUGUUGGUACUCCUGUGACGAAAGAGUUAAUGACUACAGAGAAUGGGAAUUAUUUUCCAUCUUCUCUUCCACAAGGUGACGUUAGUAGUCAUGAUACACUACGUGAAAAUGGUGUAGUAGGAACCCAAAAUGGAAUCAAUGCAGAAGACAAAUAUGCACCAAGUGCUACACUCUUCAGUUCUGAUGAGGCUGCUGAGGAAGACUAUGGACUGGGAAACAGUCAGUCACAAUGCAGGAAGAGAAAAGCACCUGAAACUACACCACCAUCAAGCAACAAGAAAACCAGAAGAAGAAGUAAUACUGAGUUGGAUUCUGAACCUAUUGAUUCAGAAGAGCUUAUGUGUCGAGUAAUGGAUGCUGUUGAUAGAGAACUUGGAUUACCUCCCAGAAAAGGGGAAUCCAAGCAAGAGACCCAGAAAUCUAAGCCAUCUACACUGGAAAUAACACCUGGUACGCAGUUGUGCUCCCAGGAAAGAUUAAAUAUGCAGUAUAAAUUUGAUGCCAAAAAUUGUGGGCCACCAUCAUAUCAGCAGACUCCACCACCACCAUCAUUGAGUGUCGCAGUGUUGGAAAGUGAUGAUGAUGACGACGAUGUAGUAGAGGCUACUCCAAGAGAUGUCUCUGCCCACAGCAUCAACUCCAGUAAGCACACAACUGUGCACAAAACACCUCAGAAACCAACAGCAUUAGUCCCAGGGCAAAAAACAAUAGCUACUAGAAAAUCUGCUUCACAAAGUACCCCACCGUCUGGUGUAAGAAAAGCACAAAGAGAUAUUUCAGUAAUGUCUCCAAAGCAGACAGAGUCAUGUGCCAACUUUCAGAAGAAAGAAUAUAUGAAUGCAGAUCAUCAGAGAAGAACUGUUACAUCAUCUCCUAGUGCUAAUAAAAUUGUUGUUAUGCGUAAUGUGGAAGAUGGUUCCUGCACUCCUCAAAAAAGGCAGUUAGUUUCUCAUUCAGCUUGCACUGGGACCCCACCAAGACGAGGAACUUCACCAGAAGUUGGAACACCUCGGAAGUCAGCUCCUGGUACACCACAUAGAAAACCAGUACAAAACAAAACGGGUGCUGGCACCCCUAAGGUCAGCCUGUCCCUUACUAGUGGCAUCCGAGAGAAUAGAUCUGCACAGCAGAGCAUACCGGUACCAAGAACUCAACUGUUUGUGGCAUGUACAGGCUUUCCAAGGCCACUUGCAGCAAAAAUUAAGCAAUUGCUCACAUCACUUGGCAUAAAAUAUUGUGAUCGUGUUGGCCCAGAAACGACACAUGUUGUUGUUCGGCCAAAUUCAUCUGGUCUUCCAGAAAAAACUUUGAAGUAUUUGCAAGCAGUUGCUGCAGGGAAGUGGGUUGUUGGCCCUGGUUGGAUUGACCAGACAUGUAAGAACCGCUGUCCUGCUCCAGAGAUUGCCUUGGAGGCAGCGGACCACGUAAGUCACGGCUGGCAUCCACUCCACUCUUCCAUGAUUUUGUUUUCUGCUGUGUUGGACCAUUCAGUGCUACUGCUGUUGAUGACCUUAAGGAGUUGCUGUCAUUGACUGGUGCAUUAGUGGUAGAGAGCCCUCAUCAAAUGAAGACCCGGCCUCAGUCACGGCACGUCAUCUUGGCUGAGGAAGACCCAGCAAGAGAAGGCUUCUUUGCAGAACUCUUCAGACAGUAUGGUAUAGCACCAGUUUCACUGGAUUGGGCCCUAGAGUGCAUCUCCUGCCACAGCCUCAUAUCAGUACUUGGAUCACUGCUUGCACCUGUAACUCGUGAACAGCUGGCAGGCCC
This 5488-nucleotide unclassified non-coding RNA is filed under the name Schistocerca americana (American grasshopper). Its description in RNAcentral is "breast cancer type 1 susceptibility protein homolog, transcript variant X3". The record is from RNAcentral. Lineage: Eukaryota; Metazoa; Arthropoda; Insecta; Orthoptera; Acrididae.